UGGGGAAUAUUGGACAAUGGGCGCAAGCCUGAUCCAGCAAUACCGCGUGUGUGAAGAAGGCCUGAGGGUUGUAAAGCACUUUCAAGUGGGAGGAACACCUGUUGAAUUAAUAGCCGACAGACUGACAUUACCACUAGAAGAAGCACCGGCUAACUCCGUG
This 160-nucleotide ribosomal RNA is filed under the name uncultured marine bacterium. RNAcentral's name for it is "partial 16S ribosomal RNA". It matches the Rfam family "Bacterial small subunit ribosomal RNA", at positions 355 to 507 of the family's 1533-position model. The record is from RNAcentral.